This 113-nucleotide ribosomal RNA is filed under the name Staphylococcus delphini. Its description in RNAcentral is "partial 16S ribosomal RNA". It matches the Rfam family "Bacterial small subunit ribosomal RNA", at positions 1 to 107 of the family's 1533-position model. Lineage: Bacteria; Bacillati; Bacillota; Bacilli; Caryophanales; Staphylococcaceae. The record is from RNAcentral.
UUUUAUGGAGAGUUUGAUCCUGGCUCAGGAUGAACGCUGGCGGCGUGCCUAAUACAUGCAAGUCGAGCGAACAGAUAAGGAGCUUGCUCCUUUGACGUUAGCGGCGGACGGGU